RNAcentral lists this ribosomal RNA (497 nucleotides) under uncultured bacterium. Its description in RNAcentral is "partial 16S ribosomal RNA". It matches the Rfam family "Bacterial small subunit ribosomal RNA", at positions 28 to 507 of the family's 1533-position model. The record is from RNAcentral.
GAUGAACGCUGGCGGCGUGCCUAAUACAUGCAAGUCGAGCGAACAGACCAGGAGCUUGCUCCUCUGACGUUAGCGGCGGACGGGUGAGUAACACGUGGAUAACCUACCUAUAAGACUGGGAUAACUUCGGGAAACCGGAGCUAAUACCGGAUAAUCUAUUGAACCGCAUGGUUCAAUAGUGAAAGACGGUUUUGCUGUCACUUAUAGAUGGAUACGCGCCGGCUUAGCUAGUUGGUGAGGUAACGGCUUACCAAGGCAACGAUGCGGAGCCGACCUGGGAGGGUGAGCGGCCACACUGGAACUGAGACACGGUCCAGACUCCUACGGGAGGCAGCAGUAGGGAAUCUUCCGCAAGGGGCGUAAGCCUGACGGAGCAACGCCGCGUGAGUGAUGAAGGUCUUCGGAUCGUAAAACUCUGUUAUUAGGGAAGAACAAAUGUGUAAGUAACUGUGCACGUCUUGACGGUACCUAAUCAGAAAGCCACGGCUAACUACGUG